RNAcentral lists this ribosomal RNA (324 nucleotides) under uncultured eukaryote. RNAcentral's name for it is "partial 18S ribosomal RNA". It matches the Rfam family "Eukaryotic small subunit ribosomal RNA", at positions 1470 to 1796 of the family's 1831-position model. The record is from RNAcentral.
CCCUUAGAUGUUCUGGGCCGCACGCGCGCUACACUGAUGCAUUCAACGAGCCUAUCCUUGACCGACAGGUCCGGGUAAUCUUUGAAUCUGCAUCGUGACGGGGAUAGAUUAUUGCAAUUAUUAAUCUUCAACGAGGAAUGCCUAGUAGGCGCAAGUCAUCAGCUUGCGUCGAUUACGUCCCUGCCCUUUGUACACACCGCCCGUCGCUCCUACUGAUUGGGUGUUCAAGUGAGAUGCUUAGACCCUUGUUGCAUGGUUCAUUAUUGUGCUCCGAAAGGAAAAAGUUUCAAGCUUGAGUGUCUAGAGGAAGUAAAAGUCGUAACA